Molecule: non-coding RNA, 237 nt
Organism: Pelobates cultripes (western spadefoot toad)
Lineage: Eukaryota; Metazoa; Chordata; Amphibia; Anura; Pelobatidae
Source: the annotation of a GenBank genome assembly
UCCUGCACCAAGACCACUUCAUUGAAAGGAAUAGUCCCUUUAACCCCUUAAGGACACAUGACAUGUGUGACAUGUCCUGAUUCCCUUUUAUUCCAGAAGUUUGAUUCUUAAGGGGUUAAAUACAGGACAUAGUGCCCAUAGACUCUUUGCACCACAACUACUAUAUUGAGCUAUGGUGGUUAUGGUUUCUUUUGAGCAUUUAUAUAUAAGAAAUACACAGUGGAAAAAUAAUUAUAA